CCAAUAGCGUAUAUUAAAGUUGUUGCAGUUAAAAAGCUCGUAGUUGAAUUUCGGGAUCGACGGGUCGGUCGCGCCUCUGGUGUGUACUGGCCCUGUCGGUUUCUCCCUUCUGAAGAACCGCGAUGUCAUUAAUUUGGUGUCGUGGGAAAUCAGGACUGGUCCUUUGAAAAAAUUAGAGUGUUUAAAGCAGGCAUUCGCUUGAAUACAUUAGCAUGGAAUAAUGAAAUAGGACGUUUGAUCUUAUUUUGUUGGUUUCUAAGAUCGACGUAAUGAUUAAUAGGGAUAGUUGGGGGCAUUAGUAUUCAAUUGUCAGAGGUGAAAUUCUUGGAUUUAUUGAAGACUAACUACUGCGAAAGCAUUUGCCAAGGAUGUUUUCAUUAAUCAAGAACGAAAGUUAGGGGAUCGAAGACGAUCAGAUACCGUCGUAGUCUUAACCAUAAACUAUGCCGACUAGGGAUCGGAUGAUGUUAAUUUUUUAAUGACUCAUUCGGCGCCUUACG
This 500-nucleotide ribosomal RNA is filed under the name uncultured Glomeromycotina. RNAcentral describes it as "partial small subunit ribosomal RNA". It matches the Rfam family "Eukaryotic small subunit ribosomal RNA", at positions 591 to 1092 of the family's 1831-position model. The record is from RNAcentral. Lineage: Eukaryota; Fungi; Glomeromycota.